RNAcentral lists this ribosomal RNA (253 nucleotides) under uncultured bacterium. Its description in RNAcentral is "partial 16S ribosomal RNA". It matches the Rfam family "Bacterial small subunit ribosomal RNA", at positions 524 to 776 of the family's 1533-position model. The record is from RNAcentral.
UACAGAGGUCUCGAGCGUUAAUCGGAUUCAUUGGGCUUAAAGCGUACGUAGGCGGAUGUGCAGGCAUCGUGUGAAAUCCCCUGGCUCAACCAGGGAACUGCUCGGUGAACCGCACGUCUUGAGGCAAGUAGAGGCUGUCGGAACGAUAGGUGGAGCGGUGAAAUGCGUAGAUAUCUGGAGGAAUACCGGUGGCGAAGGCGGCAUCCUGGACCGACAUUGACGCUGAGGAGCGAAAGCCAGGGGAGCAAACGGG